RNAcentral lists this long non-coding RNA (17795 nucleotides) under Triticum aestivum (bread wheat). RNAcentral describes it as "long non-coding RNA (TAES_LNC019589)". The record is from RNAcentral. Lineage: Eukaryota; Viridiplantae; Streptophyta; Magnoliopsida; Poales; Poaceae.
UCAAAUACAACGGGUGCAAAACAGUUGCACACGCGGAAUACUCAGGUUAAACUUGACGAGCCUAGCAUAUAACAGAUAUGGCCUCGGAACACUGAGACCGAAAGGUCGAGCGUGAAUCAUAUAGUAGAUAUGAUCAACAUAGUGAUGUUCACCAUUGAAACUACUCCAUCUCACGUGAUGAUCGGACAUGGUUUAGUUGAUAUGGAUCACGUGAUCACUUAGAGGAUUAGAGGGAUGUCUAUCUAAGUGGGAGUUCUUAAGUAAUAUGAUUAAUUGAACUUUAAUUUAUCAUGAACUUAGUCCCGGUAGUAUUAGCAUAUCUAUGUUGUAGAUCAAUAGCUCGCGUUUAGCUCCCAUGUUUAUUUUGAUAUGUUCCUAGAGAAAACUAAGUUGAAAGAUGUUAGUAGCAAUGAUGCGGAUUGGAUCCAUGAUCUGGGGAUUAUCCUCAUUGCUGCACAGAAGAAUUAUGUCCUUGAUGCACCGCUAGGUGACAGACCUAUUGCAGGAGCAAAUGCAGACGUUAUGAACGUUUGGCUAGCUCAAUAUGAUGACUACUUGAUAGUUUAGUGCACCAUGCUUAAAGGCUUAGAAUCGGGACUUCAAAGACGUUUUGAACGUCAUGGACCAUAUGAGAUGUUCUAGGAGUUGAAGUUAAUAUUUCAAGCAAAUACCCGAGUUGAGAGAUAUGAGGUCUCCAACAAGUUCUAUAGCUAAAAGAUGGAGGAGAAUAGCUCAAGCAGUGAGCAUGUGCUCAGAUUUUCUGGGUACUACAAUCGCUUGAAUCAUGGGAGUUAAUCUUCCAGAUAAAAUAGUGAUUGACAGAAUUCUCUAGUCACCAUCACCAAGUUAGUAGAACUUUGUGAUGAACUAUAGUAUGCAAGGGAUGACGAAAACAAUUCCCAAGCUCUUCGCAAUGCUAAAAUCGGCGAAGGUAGAAAUCAAGAAAAACAUCAAGUGUUGAUGGUUGACAAGACCACUAGUUUCAAGAAAAGGGGCAAAGGGAAGAAGGGGAACUUCAAGAAGAACGGCAAGCAAGUUGCUGCUCAAGUGAAGAAGCCCAAGUCUGGACCUAAACCUGAGACUAAGUGCUUAUGCUGCAAAGGAACUGGUCACUGGAAGCGGAACUACCCCAAGUAUUUGGCAGAUAAGAAGGAUGGCAAAGUGAACGAAGGUAUAUUUGAUAUACAGAUUAUUGAUGUGUAUUUUACUAGUGUUCGUAGUAACCCUUCGGUAUUUGAUACUGGUUCAGUUGCUAAGAGUAGUAACUCGAAACGGGAGUUGCAGAAUGAACAGAAACUAGUUAAGGGUGAAGUGACGAUGUGUGUUGGAAGUAGUUCCAAGAUUGAUAUGAUCAUCAUCGCACACUCCCUAUACUUUCGGGAUUAGUGUUGAACCUAAAUAAGUGUUAUUUCGUGUUUGCGUUGAGCAUGAAUAUGAUUUGAUCAUGUUUAUUGCAAUACGGUUAUUCAUUUAAGUUAGAGAAUAAUUGUUGUUCUGUUUACAUGAAUAAAACCUUAUAAGGUUACACACCCAAUGAAAAUGGUUCGUUGGAUCUUGAUCGUAGUGAUACACAUAUUCAUAAUAUUGAAGCCAAAAGAUGCAAAGUUAAUAAUGAUAGUGCAACUUAUUUGUGGCACUGCCGUUUAGGUCAUAUUGGUGUAAAGCGCAUGAAGAAACUCCAUGCUGAUGGGAUUUUAGAAUCACUUGAUUACGAAUCACUUGAUGCUUGCGAACCAUGCCUCUUGGGCAAGAUGACUAAAACGCCGUUCUCCGGAACAAUGGAGCGAGCAACAGAUUUGUUGGAAAUCAUACAUACUGAUGUAUGUGGUCCGAUGAAUAUUGAGGCUCGCGGCAGGUAUCGUUAUUUUCAGACCUUCCAGAUGAUUUGAGCAGAUAUGGGUAUAUCUACUUGAUGAAACAUAAAGUCUGAAACAUUUGAAAAUUUCAUAUAAUUUCAGAGUGAAGUAGAAAAUCAUCGUAACAAGAAAAUAAAGUUUCUACGAUCUGAUCGUGGAGGAGAAUAUUUGAGUUACGAGUUUGGUCUUCAUUUGAAACAAUGCGGAAUAGUUUCGCAACUCACGCCACCUGGAACACCACAGCGUAAUGGUGUGUCCGGACGUCAUAACCGUACUUUAUUAGAUAUGGUGCGAUCUAUGAUGUUUCUUACCAAUCUACCACUAUCGUUUUGGGGUUAUGCAUUAGAGAUAGCUGCAUUCACGUUAAAAAGGGCACCAUCUAAAUCCAUUGAGAUGACACCUUAUGAACUGUGGUUUGGCAAGAAACCAAAGUUGUAGUUUCUUAAAGUUUGGGGUUGCGAUGCUUAUAAGAAAAAGUUUCAUCCUGAUAAGCUCAAACCCAAAUCUGAGAAAUGUGUCUUCAUAGGAUACCCAAAGGAGACAGUUGGGUACACCUUCUAUCACAGAUCCGAAGGCAAGACAUUCGUUGCUAAGAAUGGAUCCUUUCUAGAGAAGGAGUUUCUCUCGAAAGAAGUGAGUGGGAGGAAAGUAGAACUUGAUGAGGUAACUGUACCUGCUCCCUUAUUGGAAAGUAGUUCAUCACAGAAAUCUGUUCCUGUGACUACUAUACCAAUUAGUGAGGAAGCUAAUGAUGAUGAUCAUGUAACUUCAGAUCAAGUUACUACCGAACCUCGUAGAUAAACCAGAGUGAGAUCCGCACCAGAGUGGUACGGUAAUCCUGUUCUGGAGGUCAUGUUACUUGACCAUGAUGAACCUACGAACUAUGAGGAAGCGAUGAUAAGCCCAGAUUCCGCGAAAUGGCUUGAGGCCAUGAAAUCUGAGAUGAGAUCCAUGUAUGAGAACAAAGUAUGAACUUUGAUUGACUUGCCCAAUGAUCGGCGAGCCAUUGAGAUUAAAUGGAUCUUCAAGAGGAAGACGGACGCUGAUAGUAGUGUUACUAUCUACAAAGCUAGAAUUGUCGCAAAAGAUUUUUGACAAGUUCAAGAUGUUGACUACGAUGAGAGUUUCUCACUCGUACCUAUGCUUAAGUCUGUCCGAAUCAUGUUAGCAAUUGCCGCAUUUUAUGAAAUCUGGCAAAUGGAUAACAAAAACUGCAAUCCUUAAAUGGAUUUAUUAAAGAAGAGUUGUAUAUGAUGCAACCAGAAGGUUUUGUCAAUCCUAAAGGUGCUAACAAAAUAUGCAAGCUCCGGCGAUCCAUCUAUGGACUGGUGUAAGCAUCUCGGAGUUGGAAUAUACGCUUUGAUAAGUUGGUCAAAGCAUAUAGUUUUAUACAGACUUGCGGUGAAGCCUGUAUUUACAAGAAAGUGAGUGGGAGCACUACAGCAUUUCUGAUAAGUAUAUGUGAAUGACAUAUUGUUGAUCGGAAAUAAUGUAGAAUUAUUCUGCAAAGCAUAAAGGAGUGUUUGAAAGGAGUUUUUCAAAGAAAUACCUCGGUGAAGCUGCUUACAUAUUGAGCAUCAAGAUCUAUAGAGAUAGAUCAAGACGCUUGAUAAGUUUUUUCAAUGAGUACAUACCUUGACAAGAUUUCGAAGUAGUUCAAAAUGGAACAGUCAAAGAAAGAGUUCUUGCAUGUGUUACAAGGUGUGAAAUUGAGUAAGACUCAAUGCCAGACCACGGCAGAAGAUAGAAAGAGAAUGAAAGUCAUUCCCUAUGCCUUGGCCAUAGGUUCUAUAAAUUAUGCCAUGUUGUGUACCAGAUCUAUUGUAUACCCUACACUGAUUUUGGCAAGGGGGUACAAUAGUGAUCUAAGAGUAGAUCACUGGACAGCGGUCAAAAUUAUCCUUAGUGGAAUAAGGAUAUGUUUCUUGAUUAUGGAGGUGACAAAAAGGGUUCGUCGUAAAGGGUUACGUCGAUGCAAAUUUUGACACUGAUCCAGAUGGCUCUAAGUCUCAAUCUGGAUACAUAUUGAAAGUGGGAGCAAUUAGCUAGAGUAGCUCCGUGCAGAGCAUUGUAGACAUAGAAAUUUGCAAAAUACUUACGGAUCUGAAUGUGGCAGGCCCGUUGACUAAAAUUAUCUCACAAGCAAAACAUGAUCACACCUUAGUACUCUUUGGGUGUUAAUCACAUAGCGAUGUGAACUAGAUUAUUGACUCUAGUAAACCCUUUGGGUGUUGGUCACAUGACGAUGUGAACUAUGGGUGUUAAUCACAUGGUGAUGUGAACUAUUGGUAUUAAAUCACAUGGUGAUGUGAACUAGAUAAUUGACUCUAGUGCAAGUGGGAGACUGAAGGAAAUAUGCCCUAGAGGCAAUAAUAAAGUUAUUAUUUAUUUCCUUAUAUCAUGAUAAAUGUUUAUUAUUCAUGCUAGAAUUGUAUUAACCGGAAACAUAAUACUUGUGUGAAUACAUAGACAAACAGAGUGUCACUAGUAUGCCUCUACUUGACUAGCUCGUUGAUCAAAGAUGGUUAUGUUUCCUAGCCAUUGACAUGAGUUGUCAUUUGAUUAACAGGAUCACAUCAUUAGGAGAAUGAUUUGAUUGACUUGACCCAUUCUGUUAUCUUAGCACUCGGUCGUUUAGUAUGUUGCUAUUGCUUUCUUCAUGACUUAUACAUGUUCCUAUGACUAUGAGAUUAUGCAACUCCCGUUUACCGGAGGAACACUUUGUGUGCUACCAAACGUCACAACGUAACUGGGUGAUUAUAAAGGUGCUCUACAGGUGUCUCCGAAGGUACUUGUUGGGUUGGCGUAUUUCGAGAUUAGGAUUUGUCACUCCGAUUGUCGGAGAGGUAUCUCUGGGCCCACUCGGUAAUGCACAUCACUUAAGCCUUGCAAGCAUUGCAACUAAUGAGUUAGUUGCGGGAUGAUGUAUUACGGAACGAGUAAAGAGACUUGCCGGUAACGAGAUUGAACUAGGUAAUGAGAUACCGAUGAUCGAAUCUCGGGCAAGUAACAUACCGAUGACAAAGGGAACAACGUAUGUUGUUAUGCGGUCUGACCGAUAAAGAUCUUCGUAGAAUAUGUGGGAGCCAAUAUGAGCAUCCAGGUUCCGCUAUUGGUUAUUGACCGGAGACGUGUCUCGGUCAUGUCUACAUAGUUCUCGAACCCGUAGGGUCCGCACGCUUAAAGUUUCGAUGACAGUUAUAUUAUGAGUUUAUAUGUUUUGAUGUACCGAAGGUUGUUCGGAGUCCCAGAUGUGAUCACGGACAUGACGAGGAGUCUCGAAAUGGUCGAGACAUGAAGAUUGAUAUAUUGGAAGCCUAUGUUUGGAUAUCGGAAGUGUUCCGGGUGAAAUCGGAAUUUUACCGGAGUACCGGGAGGUUACCGGAACCCCCCGGGGGUUUAAUGGGCCAUAGUGGGCCUUAGUGGAAGAGAGGAGAGGCGGCCAGGGCAGGGCCGCGCGCCCCUCCCCCCUAGUCCGAAUAGGACAAGGAGAGGGGGNNNNNNNNNNNNNNNNNNNNNNNNNNNNNNNNNNNNNNNNNNNNNNNNNNNNNNNNNNNNNNNNNNNNNNNNNNNNNNNNNNNNNNNNNNNNNNNNNNNNNNNNNNNNNNNNNNNNNNNNNNNNNNNNNNNNNNNNNNNNNNNNNNNNNNNNNNNNNNNNNNNNNNNNNNNNNNNNNNNNNNNNNNNNNNNNNNNNNNNNNNNNNNNNNNNNNNNNNNNNNNNNNNNNNNNNNNNNNNNNNNNNNNNNNNNNNNNNNNNNNNNNNNNNNNNNNNNNNNNNNNNNNNNNNNNNNNNNNNNNNNNNNNNNNNNNNNNNNNNNNNNNNNNNNNNNNNNNAAAAGGGAGGGAGUCCUACUCCCGGUGGGAGUAGGACUCCUCCUGGCGCGCCCCUUCUGGCCGGCCGCACCUCUCCCCCUUGCUCCUUUAUAUACGGGGGCAGGGGGCACCCUAGAGACACAACAAUUGAUUUGAUCUUUUAGCUGUGUGUGGUGCCCCCCUCCACCAUAGUCCACCUCGAUAAUACUGUAGCGGUUCUUAGGCGAAGCCCUGCGUCGGUAGAACAUCAUCAUCGUCACCACGUCGUCAUGCUGACAAAACUCUCCCUCAACACUCGGCUGGAUCGGAGUUCGAGGGACGUCAUCGGGCUGAACGUGUGCUGAACUCGGAGGUGCCGUGCGUUCGGUACUUGAUCGGUCGGAUCGUGAAGACGUACGACUACAUCAACCGCGUUGUGCUAACGCUUCCGCUUUCGGUCUACGAGGGUACGUGGACAACACUCUCCCCUCUCGUUGCUAUGCAUCACCAUGAUCCUGUGUGUGCGUAGGAAAUUUUUUGAAUUACUACGUUCCCCAACAAGGUGUUCUAACAUAGCUUUUGUUAACCACAGUUGAAACUUUAGCAUGUUCCUUUAUCCUAACAGGAAAAGUGGUUUCUCAAUAUAAGCAGAAGGGACAACUGGAUCAACAUUAUACAGUAUAGUUUCUUCUUUACCCGGUACCGGUUCUUUGAUUUCAUCUUUAAUAGGUGGGUGAUAUUUAAACCACUUCUCUCUAGGGAGUUCAACAUGAGUAGCAAAUGAUUCACAAAAGGAGGCUACUAUCUCAGAGUCAAGUCCAUAUUUAGUGCUAAACUUAUGAAAAGCAUCGGUAUCCAUAAAAGAUUUAACACAAUCAUAUUUAAGCUUAAUACCUGACUCUUUACCUUCAUCGAGUUCCCAAUCUUCAGAGUUGCGUUUAAUUCUUUCCAAAAGAUCCCACCGGAAUUCAAUAGUUUUCUUCAUAAAAGAACCAGCACAAGAAGUAUCCAGCAUAGUUUGAUCAUUACGAGAAAGCCGAGCAUAAAAGUUCUGAAUAAUAAUUUCUUUUGAGAGCUCAUGAUUGGAGUAUGAAUAUAACAUUGACUUAAGCCUCCCCCAAGCUAGAUCGAUACUUUCUCCUUCACGAGGCCAAAAAUUAUAUAUAUAAUUCCGAUCACGAUGAACUAGAUGCAUAGGAUAAUUUUUUUGGUGGAACUCCAAUUUUAAACGAUUCCAAUUCCAUGAUCCAAUAUCAUCGCAUAGCCUAUACCAUGCCAAUGCUUUUCCCUUCAAAGAUAAAGGGAAAACCUUCUUCAUCACCUCAUCUCCGGGUAAACCUGCAAGCUUGAACAAUCCACAAAUUUGUUCACAUAUAUCAAGUGCAUAUCAGGAUGUUCUGUUCCAUCUCCUGCAUAAGGAUUAGCUAGCCGUUGUUCUGUCAUACCCGAGAAUUUCAUAUUCAAUGUUUUCAGUAGGUGCAGUAGGUUGAGGGGCAAUUAAUUGUAGUUCUAGACGAGGUGAAGAUACCCCGAACAAACCCCUCAAAGGAUUGUUUUCCAUGGUAGCAAGUAACAAUAAAUUUCAGCACACUAUAUAAAUGUUUCCUUACCAAAUUCCACUUACCAAAGGCGCUUCACUCCCCGGCAACAGCGCCAGAAAAUAGCCUUGAUGACCCACAAGUAUAGGGGAUCAAUGUUAGCUCUUUUCGAUAAGUAAGAGUGUCGAACCCAAUGAGGAGCAGAAGGAAAUGACGGGUAGUUUUCAGUAAGGUAAUGUCAGCAAGUGCUGAAAAUGUAAGUAGCGAGUAGUUUGAUAGCAAGAUAAUUUGUAACGAGCAAAUAACGAUAGUAGCAAUAAGUAUGCAGCAAGGUAGCCCAAUCCUUUUGAGGCAAAGGACAGGCCAAAACGGUCUCUUAUGAUAAGCAAAGCGUUCUUGAGGGUACACGGGAAUUUCAUCUAGUCACUUUCAUCAUGUUGGUUUAAUUCGUGUUCGCUACUUUGAUAAUUUGAUAUGUGGGUGGACCAGUGCUUAGGUGCUAUUCUUACUUGAACAAACCUCCUACUUAUGAUUAACCCUCCCGCAAGCAUCCGCAACUAUGAGAAAAGUAUUAAGAAUAAAUUCUAACCAUAGCAUUAAACUCUUGGGUCCAAUCGGUCCCUUACGGAAUAGCGCAUAAACUGGGGUUUAAGCUUCUGUCACUCUCAUAACCCACCAUCUAUUUACUACUCCACAAUGCAUUCCCUUAGGCCCAAAUAUGGUGAAGUGCCAUGUAGUCGACGUUCACAUGACACCACUAAGGGAAUCACAACAUACAUACCAUCAAAAUAUCGAACACAUAUCAAAUUCACAUGAUUACUUGCAACAUGAUUUAUCCCGUGACCUCAAGAAUGAAAGUAACUACUCACAAAUAAUAAACAUGCUCAUGAUCAGAGGAGUAUUAAAUAGCAUCAUGGAUCUGAACAUAUAAUCUUCCACCAAAUAAACCAUAUAGUAAUCAACUACAAGAUGUAAUCAACACUACUAGUCACCCCCUAGCACCAAUCUAGUUCCGGUAACAAGAUUGAAUACAAGAGAUGAACUAGGAUUUGAGAUGAGAUGGUGCUGGUGAAGAUGUUGAUGGAGAUUGCCCUCCCCAAGAUGGGAGAGUUGUUGCUGAUGAUGAUGACGAUGAUUUCCACCUCCGGAAGGGAAGUUCCCCGGCAGAAUCGCUCCGCCAGAGGGCAAAAGUGCUCCUACCCAAGUUCCGCCUCGAGACGGCGGCUCUCCGCCCCGAAAGUCUUCCCCUUAUUUUUUUUAGGUAAAAAUGAGUUAUAUACCAGAAGAUGGGCACCGGAGGUGGGCCGAGGGGGCUACUACCCACCAUGGCGCACCUGGGCUACCUGGCGCGCCCAGGUAGGUUGUGCCCACCUGACCCCCCUCUGGUACUUAUUGGCUCCAAUAAUUCUUAUAUACUCCAUAAAAAAUCUCUGUAAAGUUUCAACUUGUUUGGAGUUGUGCAGAAUAGGUGGCCUGACGUAGCUUUUUCAGGUCCAGAUUUUCAGCUGCCGAAAUUCUCCCUCUUGGUGUGUACCUUGCAAAUUAUGAGAUAAAAGGCAUUAUAAUUACUCCAAAAAGCAUUAUUAUGAAUAAAAACAUUAUAAAUAACAGUAAGAAAACAUGAUGCAAAAUGGACGUAUCACUGCUUCGGAAGCAGCAAAUGAAGGAGUCUGGAUGAAGGAGUUCAUAUCCGAUCUAGAUGUAAUACCUAGUGAAUCGGUUCCAAUGAAAAUCUUUUGUGACAACUAAUAUAAACGUGCCCGUGCGUUGCAACGGGAAGAACACACGGUCAUAAUCCAAUAAUCAUGACUUAUAACCCCUUACUCCCACGCACACAUAUGUUAUCUAGGACCUCCUUCUCAGUAUGACAGCCCACCGGUUCUGACGCUUAUCCUCUUUUCCUUGAAUUCAGUAUUCGAUUAAUUUUUGAUAAAUCGAAUUCAAUAUUCUCAAGAUAUGCAGAAGUUUUUCAAAAAUUAUGAAAAUAAAAAACAAAUUGAUUGCUUGCAAAUUAUAGUUUGCUCCAAAAAUAGAAUAACCAACUAAGUAUGAUUAAUUAAUCAUGUUAAACUAACAAUAGAAUUAGGUAAACAUUGUCGUGGGUAUCUACCUAAGCAAUACAAAAUAAGCAUUAACAUACUCUAAAUAUUCAAAAGGUAAAUGUUUGAAACACACAAUCUUUUACAUUGAUUUUGCUGAAAAUUUAUGUAUUUUUUGGAUAUGGAAGGAGAAAUUAUAAGACCUAAAAAACUAUGGAGAGGCAAAUCACUUACAUGAGUUUAGAUGCAAAGACUCAAGUCGAAUCAAGAAUAGCAAUCCAUUUUUCACCGUGAUCAAUAAUGCGACCAUACCGGUAUUGGUAGUAGUUAAAAUCAUUUAAAAAUUUGAGAUGGUACAUUCCAAAUCCUAUAUGUGAUCCACAUACCAAUAUUAUGAUACACUUGCUCAUAUAGCUUUUCUGUGAGCUCCACGUGCAUAGUACGCCUAUUCAAUGAGUGUCCUAGUAUACUCCUUAGAGAACAGAAUGAAUACAAAUUUGCAUUUUUUUUACUAAAAUAGCAACCAUGGGAUAAAAACAUAUAUCACCCAUUGCAUCGAGAAAGAAGUAUUGAUGAUCACCAAAAAAAGAUAUUGAAGUGGCCAUGAGCCCAGAUAUAGAAUUGUAAGAUGCUAAUAAUGUAUGCAGAUUUAUAUUCCUCUAUAUAUUUUCAUUAUCCCUCUCAUCGGAAUAUAAGAUGCUAUACAAUUUAGCAUGUAUAAUAUGUGCAAAGUUAGCAAGUAGCCAGCUAUAAAUAUUGGUCUAAAAUAAGGAUAGGGUAAUAAAACGCAAGACAUGCUACACCUCUUAAUCUUCGUUUCUUUAAGCCCUUUAGCCUAGCAAUAAGCCACAUCGAGUGUAGUGAGGAAGAUUAGAUGAACAAUGCUACAUCUUAUAAAAAUAUUUUCCUCACACAAGACCGUCUGCCUGUAAUGUGUUUAUCCUGAUUCGCAAAAAAAGUUUUAUCCUGAAUUUCGUCCAUAAACAGCGAGCAUAAACAAUUAUAAAUCUAUGGAAAUUAGUAUUGUAAAUCUGUAAUCUUAUCAUCUUAGUGAUGCACAACCAAAUAUAAAGCUAGCUGAGGGUGGCCGUUCUGAUGUUGCUUGGCUAGCUUUCUAUAUAACAAAGGUUCAGUAUAGAAUUUUGAUAUACCUCAAUUAGCCCAGCAUAAUGGUCCCGUGAGGAAUGAAAUAGGCAACCGGGAGGCUGAUAUGCUUACACACCAUCAACAUAAGAUAGUUUCUCAUAAACUACAUCUGUGUAUGACCAUGGGUAACAUCCGAAUUCCUCAAAUCAGUAGGUAUUCUGCAGACUUGAUUCUCCAUAAAAAUAUGACAAACAUGCACACCUCUAGAGUUCUUUCUUCUCUGAAAAAUCUGAAAAUGUACCAAGAUCUGAUUAUAGAAUAUAAAAAAUUGAUCCGUUGAAUAAGAAAUUCGUACGAAUAUGCAUGACAAAAGCUGAGAUCUCAAUUGUUCAUUUCUAACGAAAUUUGAGUCACACCUCAAAUCUUCAGGCAGAGGUAGUUUGUUGUAGGCACAAUCAUAAAUUUGCUAGAACCCUGUCGUGCAAAUUACCAACAGAAAAUUUGACUUCCUUUAUCUAUUGGAGGCUUACUGGAUUCAAUAUCCAUCUAACAUCCUCAAAAGAUGAGGUUGUUGGGGAGUUCUCUAUGAAUCGGAGCCUGCUCCAAAGCCUGUUGUGCAGUGAUCCUACGAUCAAACAGAAAGGUACAUUCUGUAAUAUGUAUUAUUAAAGAACUGAUGGACCAUUCAGUUUUCUCUAAUGCGAUGAAUUUUUCAACCAUUACCAAUGCACAGACCUUUGAUGAUUCAACUCACAUUAACCAUGUAAAUAUUCAGAGCAGUGGGGUACCUUGUUGUCGACCAUUAGAGAAACUUCUAGUUAUGCCUCACCGGCCAGUCUCCACACGACACCACUGCCCUCUCCUUGUCCUUCUUCUUUGCUCUCUCCCUUUUUGAACUCUUCUCUCUCGCUGGGAAGCAACUCCCAUGACGCUUUUUGCAGGCAAGUAGCUUAACAACACUAAUGAGACUGAAUGUGCAAACUACAGGAGCACCAAGAUACAGGGAUAUUACUGUCGGACGCGACCGUCAACAAAUUCAACUCUAGUGUUAAUAAUUGUUGCCCGUAGGAAAUAAACCAUCCUCUUUAAUAGUUCGUUGCCUCAUUUGUAGAAGUCAAAGUCUGUCUAAGGCUUCUUGACGUUGGUUCGGUAACCCUUCUCGAAGUCCUUGGGCAGGAUAACAUUACCGAUUUUUGCGGAUAAUAGGCGUGCCAGCUUCCUGUCAAAUAGCAGCAGACCGAAAACGAAUGUCACAGCGAAUAACAUACAGGAGGAGGCAGAAAAGGUGUGCCUAAUUUACACAAGCAAUUACAUAACAUCUCAUAAUCAGGCGUUGCUACUGCUAUUAUAGGUGUCAAUAUAUAUGAAACAAAUGUAUGGUUAGCAGGAGGCCACCCGUCGAAAGAAUUAACAUGACAAAAGGGCCAUCAGCUUUCCCCCAAAAAUGACAGAUCCGCUGCUUACUGCUCACGAAAACAUCUGACCUUAUGGUCAAGUCGUCCGCCUAUAUUUCUGAUCUCAUUCGUUUUCCGCAUUUACUGAUAAGCUUUUAAGAGUAAAUGAUUUAGAAAUCAUUAUCAUUUUCUAAUUAAGCUGAGGCAAUGAAAUUUCCUAUGCUGAAGUUGUACAAGUGAGAAAGGAUGUUCACGAUAAUGAAAAGGCACUCACAUCAUCAGCAUUGAUUUUAUCCUGUCUGGAGACAAUCUUCCAAAUCAACUCACAUUAGCAGCACUGAUUUUAUCCUGUCUGGAGACAUGAUCUUCCAAAUCAACCUCGUCACUCAAGUUCAUCCUAGCAUACAAACAAAUCAACCUCGUCACUCAAGUUUAUCUUAGCAUACAAACCUGAAAGAAAGGAGGUCAUCCUAAUUAUCAGAUGCAAACAAAACAUGAUCUCAGAAAGGAUCAAGAAACUAAUAUAUUCAAUAGUUAAAUUGAGCAGACCGCAACCAUUGCGAUGCUCCUGCUUGCUGAAGUUGUGGAGGUCGGAUUGAAGGCGUGGUGGUGGUGGACCAUGACCAGCACGGAUCGGUGGACUCCGUCCUAGGGGCAGCGCACACCCCGACCUCAACGCUCGAGCUCCUCCCGAGGAGAGACGCCGCCGCCGUGAGCCAUGUCUCCUGCCCGAGCCAUUCGCCUGCAUCCGCGAGUGCGCGCGCCGGAGAAGAUUAGGAGAGGAUGGGGAGGGGAAGAAGAACAGGGCGACGGAGGGGGAGAAGACCGGGGGAGGGCGGAGAGGGCCGGCAGCGGCGGAGGCUAGAGAGGAACGGCGGCGGAGUUGGCGGAUCCGCAGCGGCGAGCGGUGGUGGGGCGACGAUGGGGCGAGGGCAGCGGCGGAUCCACUCGUGAGAAGGAGAGGCGCUCGGGCUAUUGGGGACUCCGGGUUGAUUCUUAAAGAGGUCAGCGACUUUUUUGCAACAACGAAGCGUUUUUCCCAGUUCCACUUAAAAAAGGAGUGCGGGUUCAAUUAUCAAAAGGCACAGGGACUUUAUUGCAAAAACGGCACGACGGUGAACCCAACGGACUCAACCCGUGCUUUAUUAUUGGCCACUGCUAGGCGUAAGCCGACUCAUCCUGGGAAAGGAUCAGCCGCCUCGCCAGCCAUAGAUUCGCCCUGAUUAGGACGGUUUGAUCUCCCGUGGAGUUGACCACGUCCUUGCUCCAACCCCACCUGUUCAUUCUUUCCGCAACAGCUCCGGCUCCCAGCGCAUGCUCGCGCGUAGCUCCGGCCAGGGCACCAGCUUGCCGUCCCGUAGCACCCGCACCGGCAAAGCUUGAAUGACAGCCCAGCGAAGCGACAUUGCAGCCCCGACGACCCGGCGACGCUUCAACACAGCAGCGGUGACGCCCAGUGAAGCUCCAGCUGUGCAGCUCCGGCCUCGGCGGCGCUCCAUUGCAGCCCCGGCAACCCCGACGGCGCUUCAACGCAGCACCGGCGACCCUCCGUGAGGCUUCAUUGCAGCCCGGCGACUCCGGCAGCGCUCCAUUGCAGCUCCGGCGGCGCUCCAUUGCAUGGACGGCGAAGUUUAAACGACCCCGGCGACCCGUCAUUGCAGCCCCGGCGACCUCGGCGGUGCUUCAAUACAGCACAGGCGAUGCUCCAAUGCAACAUCAACGGCCUGUCGAUGCUCCAUAGCAACUCCGGCGCCCCCCGGCGAUGCUCCAUAGCAACACCGGUGUGUUGCGUUGCAGCUCUGGUGCCGGCCACUAUGCCCCCAUUGCACUGCAGCUCUGUCACUCACCGGCGUGUUGCACUGUAGCUCCGCCGACGGCACACAACACCAUGGUCGUUGCCCUGCGUCUCCGUCGCCGACGCGCAACACCAUGGCCGUUGCGCUGCAGCUCCUCCGCUCACCACCCGCGUUGCAGCUCCUCCGCUCACCACCCACAUUGCAGCUCCGCCGUCGCCGCGUAGCGGCACGCCCAUUGGGUUGUAGCUCCACCGCCCACCGAAGGAGCAGCCCGCGCUCCCGCCUCACAGCGCCGAGCCCGCCUUGCAGAACUGCUACGGCUUAUGCUGCGCCGCAACAUCGACUUUGCAGCGCCGGUGGCCGGGAUGGGAAGAAGUCGUGCUUCGUCCUCCUUGCAUCGUCGGUGGCCGAUGCGGUCUCGAUGUUUCGUCACCGGGGGAGAAAGUGGGGAUACAAAAGAGAGAGCGGCUGUUGGGGAGAUAAGGUGGAGAGAGCUCCGAACGAUGCCGACCUCUUUGUGGUGGCCGGCCUUAUGGGAGAGAGAGCCGAGAGGAAGAGGUUGGGGAUAACAGAGGCGACAGAGGUAGGAGACGGAGGAGACGAAAGGAAAAACGAGUGGCUGUUGGGGAGAUAAGGUUGCGCGAGCGAUGGGUGGGUCUGAUAGAGACACGUGGAGGGCGCAGCACGCGGCUUAUUUUCUGAGAAAUCAGUCGGAUGAAAAAAAUACUUUUCCUUUAUUAUCAGGGAAAGAUACUGGAGCAAUUGCCUUGGCGAAGGAAUCCAGAUUUCACAAAAGAACCAAACACAUCAAGAGACGCUUCAACUCCAUCCGUGAUCAAGUCAAGGAGGGAGACAUAGAGAUUUGAAAAAUACAUAUGGAUCUGAAUGUGGCAGACCCGUUGACUAAGCCUCUUCCACGAGAAAAACAUGAUCAGCACCAAGACUUCUUGGGUGUGUUAGAAUCAUUACAUUGUAAUCUAGAUUAUUGACUCUAGUGCAAGUGGGGGACUGAAGGAAAUAUGACCUAGAGGCAAUAAUAAAGUUGUUAUUUUAUAUUUCCUUAUAUCAUGAUAAAUGUUUAUUAUUCAUGCUAGAAUUGUAUUAACCGAAAACUUGAUACAUGUGUGGAUACAUAGACAAAACACGGUGUCCCUAGUAAGCCUCCACUAGACUAGCUCGUUAAUCAAAGAUGGUUAAGUUUCCUAACCAUAGACAUGUGUUAUUAUUUGAUGAACGGGGUCACAUCAUUAGGAGAAUGAUGUGAUGUACAAAACCCAUCCGUUAGCUUAGCAUAAUGAUCGCUAAGUUUUGUUGCUAUUGCUUUCUUCAUGACUUAUACAUAUUCCUUGGACUAUGAGAUUAUGCAACUCCCGGAUACCGGAGGAAUACCUUGUGUGCUAUCAAACGUCACAACGUAAAUGGGUGAUUAUAAAGAUGCUCUACCGGUAUCUCCGAAGGUGUUUGUUGGGUUGGCAUAGAUCGAGAUUAGGAUUUGUCACUCCGAGUAUCGGAGAGGUAUCUCUAGGCCCUCUUGGUAAUGCACAUCAUGAUAAGCCUUGCAAGCAAUGUGACUAAUGAGUUAGUUGCGGGAUGAUGCAUUACGGAAUGAGUAAAGAGACUUGCCGGUAACGAGAUUGAACUAGGUAUGAAGAUACCGACGAUCGAAUCUCAAGCAAGUAACAUACCGAUGACAAAGGGAAUAACGUAUGUUGUCAUUGCGGUUCGACCGAUAAAGAUCCUCGUAGAAUACGUGGGAGCCAAUAUGAGCAUCCAGGUUCCGCUAUUGGUUAUUGACCAGAGAAGUGUCUCGGUCAUGUCUACAUAGUUCUCGAACCCGUAGGGUCCGCACGCUUAACGUUCGAUGACGAUUUGUAUUGUAUGAGUUAUGUGAUUUGGUGACCGAAUAUUGUUCGGAGUCCCGGAUGAGAUCACAGACAUGACGAGGAGUCUCGAAAUGGUUGAGAGGUAAAGAUUGAUAUAUUGGAUGAUAGUAUUCGGACACCAGAAAUGUUCCGGAGUGUCUCGGGUUCAUAUCGGAGUACCGGGGGGUUACCGGAACCCCCGGGGGGAAGAUAUGGGCCAUAUGGGCCAUAGGAGGGAGGCACACCAGCCCACAAAGGGGUGGCGCGCCCCCCACAGGGAAGGGGACCGAAUUGGACUGGGGGAGGGGGAGGCGCCCCCCUUUCCUUCUCCCCCCCUCUCUCUCUCUUUCCCCCUUUCCCUCUCGGGUAAAAGGAAAGGGGGGGGGGGCGAAUCCAACUAGGAGCCCAAGUAGGAUUCCUCUUAGUUGGGCGCGCCUAGGGCCGGCCUCCUCCCCCUCCCUCCUUUAUAUACAUGGGGGGCGCCUACAACACACAUCAAUUGUUUCAAGCCGUGUGUGGCGCCCCCCUUCACGGUUUACACCUCCGGUCAUAUUCACGAAGUGCUUAGGCGAAGCCCUGCGCGGAUCAUUUCACCAUCACCGUCACCACGCCGUCGUGCUGACGGAACUCUCCCUCGACACUUUGCUAGAUCAAGAGUUCGAGGGACGUCAUCGAGCUGAACGUGUACAGAACUCGGAGGUGCCGUACGUUCAUUGCUUGAUCGGUCGGGUUGAGAAGAAAUUCGACUACAUCAACCGCGUUGUCAAAUGCUUCCGCUUUCGGUGUACGAGGGUACGUGGACACACUCUCCCCCUCUCGUUGCUAUGCAUCUCAUAGAUAGAUCUUGCGUGAGCGUGAGAAUUUUUUUGAAAUUGCAUGCUACGUUCCCCUACAGUUUGACUAUGUUAUCUGGACAGUCAUAAUAAUUACGCUACGACGUUCGCGGCAAAAAAAAAGGGUCUAACAGAAUUGUCAUACGCGCAUAUACUCGCCCCGGCCUCUAUAAUUUUUGAAGGCCGCUCCAAAUAAUGGGACGCAACCUCCAAAUUUUGAGAAUGAGGCCGCUCAUAUGGAGUGAGCUGCAAACCCAAUCGCACGCUGGUUGGAAAUUUCAGCCCGUUCUUCCUCUUUCUCUCCCUUUCUUCUGAGUCCGUACCAAUCACGCGGUCGUGUUUCUUACUGAAAAACGUGUCCCUUAGUGGCCAGCAGGGAGACUAGUGACCUUUUUGUAUUCGUUACUAACGCUUUUGCGUCGUAUUGUAACCUCAACUAUCUUUUCCCCCUUAAUUAAUGGGUGAGGCAAAACUUAUGCCUCCAUUUUGAACAAAGAAAUUACACUCUGGACAUGUAUUCCUCGUAGCAUGGUAAAUAGAAGAGCGGGCUACGGAAAAUACACUUUGGUUCCUGAUUGUAUAUGCAUCCUAUAUGGGGAUUUUUUUAAUAUUUUAAUAAAAAGUCAAAAUAGGUAAGAACUAUUUUGAAAAAACACUUGACUUACUUUUGCACUGAUAUAUAAAUCUCGCCAAAAAAACAAAAGUUGACCUCAUAGCAAAAAAGACAAAAUUUAUUUGCUAUUAUAGGUCACUAUUCACAUUAUUUUAGUCAAAAUUUUGUCUUUUUUGAAAAGAAGUCAAAAGGAUAUUUUUUGUGGAUUUUAUUUCCCACGAGUACAAUAGAAGGUCAAGUUUAUUUGAAAAAUAUUUUCAGGAAUUUUUGACUUUUUGUUGAAUUACUAAUUUUUUUCCCAUAUAGGGUGCAUAUGUUCCAUAGACCAAAAGUUCCCCUCCAGCGGGCUACUGGCUAUAUACUGAUGAUGCCAUGUCAACUUUGAGCCGUGAUUAUCCCCCACAAUGUUCCAGACCAGUACGACUUGUAACACGUACAGCUCAUAUACUGGAGAGAAAGCUUUACCAGCCUCUCCGCUUGUGUCAGUAUAGGCGAAAGUUUUCAAUCCUUAAGAGAAAGAAAACAUAAAUAGGAUGGAGCAUCAGUUAGCGAUUUUAUUACGGGAUGUAAUCGAUCUCACGGCAACGACCACAUCGAUCUCGGCUUGUACAAAGCAGAAACUAAUCAACCUGUCUGGUCUGGCACACACCCACACACAGCUACUAUCAACAUGAACCGCCGCUUCGCUAGCUGCAACUGCAUGCCACUACCAGUUUAUUUCACGCCGGCCGCCGGCGCCAUCUAGCACUUCCUGCCCAGGCGCGGGUUGUUGGCAAAGCUGCACCAGAUCAACAAUGGAGAUGCAUGCAUGCAUGGUCAGCGCUCACGAGCAGUGGUGGAAGCAAUACAUGUAUAGCAUCAACUUGAGUAUGAGAACAAAUUGUCGUAUACUGUAGGCGGAUGUGCUAGUAGUGUACGUACCUACUCCGAGGUAUGCGCUGAAACGCUCCAGUCGUCGGAAUCGGGCCGCAGAGGUUGUUGUUUGA